CUACGGGAGGCAGCAGUGGGGAAUAUUGCACAAUGGGGGAAACCCUGAUGCAGCGACGCCGCGUGGAGGAAGAAGGUCUUCGGAUUGUAAACUCCUGUUGUUGAGGAAUGAUAAUGACGGUACUCAACAAGGAAGUGACGGCUAACUACGUGCCAGCAGC
This 160-nucleotide ribosomal RNA is filed under the name uncultured bacterium. RNAcentral describes it as "partial 16S ribosomal RNA". It matches the Rfam family "Bacterial small subunit ribosomal RNA", at positions 339 to 515 of the family's 1533-position model. The record is from RNAcentral.